This 300-nucleotide ribosomal RNA is filed under the name uncultured Pyrodictium sp. Its description in RNAcentral is "bacterial SSU rRNA". The stretch from base 53 to 300 matches the Rfam family "Bacterial small subunit ribosomal RNA", at positions 547 to 795 of the family's 1533-position model. The record is from RNAcentral. Lineage: Archaea; Thermoproteati; Thermoproteota; Thermoprotei; Desulfurococcales; Pyrodictiaceae.
GGUAUGCGUUGGUCCGGGGGCGGGGGAGAUACGGAGGGUGGUAUGGUUUAUCGGAUUUACUUGGCGUAUGGCGUGCGUAGGUGGUGGUUUAAGUCUGCUGUGAAAGCCCUGGGCUCAACCUCGGAAUUUCAGUGGAUACUGGAUCACUAGAGUGUGGUAGAGGGAUGCGGAAUUUCUGGUGUAGCAGUGAAAUGCGUAGAGAUCAGAAGGAACAGCCGUGGCGAAGGCGGCAUCCUGGGCCAACACUGACACUGAGGCACGAAAGCGUGGGGAGCAAACAGGAUUAGAACCCCGGUAGUC